UCACACAAGAGACCCAAACUAAUCGUUCACGGCGUAAAGAGUGGACUCAUGCCUAUCACAUUAAUUAUGGUCAAAACGUAGCUGAGCUGUCAUAAGCUUAAGACACACCUAAAACCACCCUAAAGAUGACCCUAAUCCAUAUGACCCACUAAACUCCACGAAAGCCAGGGCCCAAACUGGGAUUAGAUACCCCACUAUGCCUGGCCCUAAAUCUCGAUGCUCUACGCAACCAAAGCAUCCGCCUGAGAACUACGAGCACAAACGCUUAAAACUCUAAGGACUUGGCGGUGCCCCAAACCCACCUAGAGGAGCCUGUUCUAUAAUCGAUAACCCACGAUACACCCGACCACUUCUUGCCAAAACAGCCUACAUACCGCCGUCGCCAGCUCACCUCUUCUGAGAGUACCACAGUGAGCACAAUCGCCCUAACCCCGCUAACAAGACAGGUCAAGGUAUAGCUUAUGAAGUGGAAGAAAUGGGCUACAUUUUCUAACCUAGAAAACUUCACGAAAGGGGGCAUGAAAUAGCCCCUAGAAGGCGGAUUUAGCAGUAAAGUGGGAUAAUAUAAGCCCCCUUUAAGCCGGCUCUGAGGCACGUACAUACCGCCCGUCACCCUCCUCACAGGCUCUAAACUAACCAAUAAAUAAUACACCCUCCUGCCAAAGAUGAGGUAAGUCGUAACAAGGUAAGUGUACCGG
Molecule: ribosomal RNA, 698 nt
Filed under: Streptopelia capicola (ring-necked dove)
Lineage: Eukaryota; Metazoa; Chordata; Aves; Columbiformes; Columbidae
Description: partial 12S ribosomal RNA
Rfam family: Bacterial small subunit ribosomal RNA
Source: RNAcentral